This 1728-nucleotide ribosomal RNA is filed under the name Caranx latus (horse-eye jack). RNAcentral describes it as "16S ribosomal RNA". It matches the Rfam family "Bacterial large subunit ribosomal RNA". The record is from RNAcentral. Lineage: Eukaryota; Metazoa; Chordata; Actinopteri; Carangiformes; Carangidae. RNAcentral also lists the same sequence under 1 other name.
CGCCUAUUAGCUAGCCCCAACAAUCAAACUCAACAAACAAACAUAAAUUAAACCCAAAAACACUUAUACUUAAUGAAAUAAAGCAUUUUCCCUCCUAAGUAUGGGAGACAGAAAAGGACCACAAGGGCGCAAUAGAAAAAGUACCGUAAGGGAAAGCUGAAAGAGAGAUGAAAUAGACCAGUAAAGCCAUAAAAAGCAGAGAUUACCCCUCGUACCUUUUGCAUCAUGAUUUAGCCAGUAUAUUCAAGCAAAGAGAACUUUAGUUUGAAACCCCGAAACUGUGUGAGCUACUCCAAGACAGCCUAAUAUUAUAGGGCAAACCCGUCUCUGUGGCAAAAGAGUGGGAAGAGCUUCGAGUAGGGGUGACAGACCUAUCGAACUCAGUUAUAGCUGGUUGCCCGGGAAUUGGAUAAAAGUUCAGCCUCAUGGCUUCUCCCUUCAUAUAAUAAUAACCACCUAAUGAUUAAAAGAAACCGUGAGAGUUAGUCAAAGGGGGUACAGCCCCUUUGAACAAAGACACAACUUUUCUAGAAGGAUAAAGAUCAUAAUUUUUAAGGAGAAAUGUUCCGGUGGGCCUAAAAGCAGCCACCCCAACAGAAAGCGUUAAAGCUCAGACAUACUAUUCCCUCCCCAUAUCCCGAUACCCUUAUCUUAAUCCCCUAACAUUACCGAGCCUCCCCAUGCACCCAUGGGGGCGACCCUGCUAAAAUGAGUAAUAAGAGAGUCACGCCCUCUCUCCUAGCACAUGUGUAAAUCGGAACGGACCCCCCACCGAACAAUAAACGGCCCCAAACAAAGAGGGUACUGGACAAACGUACGAACACAAAACUAGAAAAUCGUCCUAAUCAACACCGUUAACCCUACACUGGUGUGCUCACCAGGAAAGACUAAAAGAAAGAGAAGGAACUCGGCAAACAUUUUCCUUAAGCCUCGCCUGUUUACCAAAAACAUCGCCUCUUGCAAAACCAAAGAAUAAGAGGUCCCGCCUGCCCGGUGACUAUAUGUUUAACGGCCGCGGUAUUUUGACCGUGCGAAGGUAGCGUAAUCACUUGUCUUUUAAAUGGAGACCUGUAUGAAUGGCAUAACGAGGGCUUAACUGUCUCCUCUUUCCAGUCAAUGAAAUUGAUCUCCCCGUGCAGAAGCGGGGAUAAAUACAUAAGACGAGAAGACCCUAUGGAGCUUUAGACACCAAGACAGAUCAUGUUAAAUACCCCCUAAUAAAGGCCCGAACUUAAUGACCCCCUGUCCUAAUGUCUUCGGUUGGGGCGACCAUGGGGCAGCACAAAACCCCCAUGUGGACUGGGAGAACAAACCCAAAACCCUUUUCCCACACUCCCACAAGCAAGAGCUACAACUCUAACUAACAGAAUCUCUGACCUCUUACGAUCCGGCUUCCGCCGAUCAACGGACCAAGUUACCCUAGGGAUAACAGCGCAAUCCCCUUUUAGAGCCCAUAUCGACAAGGGGGUUUACGACCUCGAUGUUGGAUCAGGACAUCCUAAUGGUGCAGCCGCUAUUAAGGGUUCGUUUGUUCAACGAUUAAAGUCCUACGUGAUCUGAGUUCAGACCGGAGUAAUCCAGGUCAGUUUCUAUCUAUGAAGUUAAUCUUUUCUAGUACGAAAGGACCGAAAAGAAGAGGCCCAUACCUUAGGCACGCCUCACCCUUACCUAAUGAAAUCAUCUAAACUAGGCAAGAGGGUGCGCCCACUGUGCCUAAGAGAAUGGCAU